GAGAAACUGAGAGGAAUGUGUUUUGUCUUUCAAAUUUUAAAUCAACUUCCUUUUAUUAUACUUUAACCCAUAAACGUUUAAAUCUUUUCACCCUAUCCUUUUUUGCUGCUUUAAUUAUACUUAAGUGUGCCACAUCAGAUUUUUAAACCCAACAAAAAAUCAAAAACCUUUUCAAGGUUAUAUUCUCAAUUCGAAACUUGGGAAGACAUAUCGGUUAAAUUUCCUCAAAAGAAACAGAGGGCUAAGUUGUCUGCUCGAAUGGCUUCUGGAGAAUUUACAGUAAAGCCAUCUGGGCAUGUUUAGUUUUGAGCUAUGAAUUUUGAGGUUUGUGACAUUGUUUUCCAUCAGUAAUUCAGUAUUGAGGAAUGGCUUGUCGAAAUUGGGUGUUCCUCGUGAAAUUUUGGGAGUUCUAUUUAAUCGGAUUGAUGCUAAUGAAGACUAUCCAAAGAUCCCGGAAGCAAAAGGGCAGAUUAGUGCUAUUCGAAUUGAGGCAUUCUUCAUUCCUUGUAUGAGCUUUACAUCACAUAUGGUGGAAUUUUCGGUUCAACAUUUGGACCAAAGAUUUUUGAUACAGGAAUCCAUCAAGAAUCUCUCAAGAAGUUGCCAGCCUUUAUGUUUUUCCAUGAAUCUGUCAUAUUUUUGUUGCAGCAGGUGGUGGUGGAUUUGGAGGUUUCGGCGGCCAACAAGGAUCAGCUUUUGGUGGGGUUGCUAGAGGAAUUGGAAAUUGAUUUGGCUGUGUUUUUUGACGGGCAGAAAGUGUAUUUAGUUAGAAAAGGUUGGCAGGAUCCAUGGAAUCUUUAGAGUAGGGACUGAAAGUAUAUUUAGUUGAGGCAAAAUUGACCUAUUUUGGUAGGUUGUUAUUUUGGGAAUUACUAGAACU
Molecule: long non-coding RNA, 880 nt
Organism: Pistacia vera
Lineage: Eukaryota; Viridiplantae; Streptophyta; Magnoliopsida; Sapindales; Anacardiaceae
Exons: 4
Source: RefSeq, a predicted model, not a curated record